This is a small nuclear RNA of Cervus hanglu yarkandensis (Yarkand deer), 96 nucleotides long. The record is from Ensembl. NCBI's taxonomy places the organism in Eukaryota, Metazoa, Chordata, Mammalia, Artiodactyla, Cervidae.
GUGCUCGUUUUGGCAGCGCAUGCACUAAUGAUGAAGAGAUUAGCAUGACCCCUGAGUGAGGAUGGCACACAGAUUCAUGACGCGUUCCAUGUUUUA